Molecule: ribosomal RNA, 64 nt
Filed under: Salmonella enterica subsp. enterica serovar Newport str. Henan_3
Lineage: Bacteria; Pseudomonadati; Pseudomonadota; Gammaproteobacteria; Enterobacterales; Enterobacteriaceae
Description: partial 16S ribosomal RNA
Rfam family: Bacterial small subunit ribosomal RNA (bases 1-54)
Source: RNAcentral
GUGAAGUCGUAACAAGGUAACCGUAGGGGAACCUGCGGUUGGAUCACCUCCUUACCUGAAAGAA